This 801-nucleotide ribosomal RNA is filed under the name uncultured Bacteroidota bacterium. Its description in RNAcentral is "bacterial SSU rRNA". It matches the Rfam family "Bacterial small subunit ribosomal RNA", at positions 1 to 799 of the family's 1533-position model. The record is from RNAcentral. Lineage: Bacteria; Pseudomonadati; Bacteroidota.
AGGAGAGUUUGAUCCUGGCUCAGGAUGAACGCUAGCGGCAGGCCUAACACAUGCAAGUCGAGGGGCAGCGCGGGGUAGCAAUACCCUGGCGGCGACCGGCGCACGGGUGCGUAACGCGUAUGCAACCCACCCGCAACAGGGGCAUAACGGAGGGAAACUUCCACUAAUUCCCCGUAUUGUCGUUUUUCCGCAUGGGAUUGCGACGAAAGCUUCGGCGGUUGCGGACGGGCAUGCGUGACAUUAGCUAGUUGGCGGGGCAACGGCCCACCAAGGCUGCGAUGUCUAGGGGAGCUGAGAGGCUAAUCCCCCACACUGGUACUGAGACACGGACCAGACUCCUACGGGAGGCAGCAGUGAGGAAUAUUGGUCAAUGGCCGGAAGGCUGAACCAGCCAUGCCGCGUGGGGGAAGGAGGCCCUACGGGUCGUAAACCCCUUUUAGCCGGGAGUAAUAAGGGUCCUGCGGGGCCUGAUGAGAGUACCGGCGGAAUAAGCAUCGGCUAACUCCGUGCCAGCAGCCGCGGUAAUACGGAGGAUGCGAGCGUUAUCCGGAUUUAUUGGGUUUAAAGGGUGCGCAGGCGGACGCGUAAGUCAGCGGUGAAAUGUCCCGGCUCAACCGGGGAGCUGCCGUUGAUACUGCGCGACUAGGGUGCGAGCGGCGCCGGCGGAAUGUGUGGUGUAGCGGUGAAAUGCAUAGAUACCACACAGAACACCGAUCGCGAAGGCAGCUGGCGAGGACGUUACUGACGCUGAGGCACGAAGGCGUGGGGAUCGAACAGGAUUAGAUACCCUGGUAGUCCCCU